UACGUAGGGGGCUAGCGUUGUCCGGAAUUACUGGGCGUAAAGCGCACGCAGGCGGUUCGCCAAGUUUGGAGUGACAGUUGUCGGCUCAACCGACAAAGGACUUCAAAAACUGGUGAACUUGAGGACGAGAGAGGAACAUGGAACUCCAGGUGUAGUAGUGAAAUGCGUAGAUAUCUGGAAGAACACCAAUGGCGAAGGCAAUGUUCUGGCUCGUUUCUGACGCUCAGGUGCGAAAGCCAGGGGAGCGAACGGG
RNAcentral lists this ribosomal RNA (253 nucleotides) under uncultured bacterium. RNAcentral describes it as "partial 16S ribosomal RNA". It matches the Rfam family "Bacterial small subunit ribosomal RNA", at positions 524 to 776 of the family's 1533-position model. The record is from RNAcentral.